This 325-nucleotide ribosomal RNA is filed under the name uncultured eukaryote. RNAcentral describes it as "partial 18S ribosomal RNA". It matches the Rfam family "Eukaryotic small subunit ribosomal RNA", at positions 1470 to 1796 of the family's 1831-position model. The record is from RNAcentral.
CCCUUAGAUGUCCUGGGCCGCACGCGCGCUACACUGAUGCAUUCAACGAGUUUUACCUUGGCCGAGAGGCCUGGGCAAUCUUUUAAACCUGCAUCGUGAUAGGGAUAGAUUAUUGCAAUUUUUAAUCUUGAACGAGGAAUUCCUAGUAAACGCAAAUCAUCAAUUUGCAUUGAUUACGUCCCUGCCCUUUGUACACACCGCCCGUCGCACCUACCGAUUGAAUGGUCCGGUGAAGCCUCGGGAUUGUGGCCAGUUCACUUUAUUGGGAGUUGGCUGUGAGAACUUGUCUAAACCUUAUCAUUUAGAGGAAGGUGAAGUGGUAACA